CUCACAACCAAACCUGUCCAUUUGACUGACAGCAGCAUUCUGUUAACACGCCCUCUCUUCUGGAACUGUGCCCUGUGCUCGUUGGCUUUGGCUCUCACUGUCGUCAGACUCAAUACCCAUCUCUGUUCAAGAGGAAAUGUUUUUAGUUGUGAACUAAACUAUUCUUGCUGCGGCUGGCAGAGUUCUCAGGUGACACCAAGAUUCCUGCCCACCACACCCUGCCCUGUGUGAUCUUCUCCCUUUGGGCAUGGGUGUCCUGACCUCAUCAGUCACCCAGGAGACACACCUCUGAAUAUGUUUGUGAGGGCAUUUCCAGGAAGGACUGACAUCAGGAGAGAGGGAACCUAUCUCAAAACAGGCAUCUUGGAACAGGCAGCUCAGAGUUCUGGGGAGCAGGCAGUGUCCCUGAGGAAGCGCGUCUGCGGUGGCUGUCUCCCUCCUCCACUGACAUCAGAUUCCAGCUUCUUUGGCCUUCCAACCUGUUCUCAACAGUAGUGACUCUCCAGGGAGCUUCUGGACUUUCAACACUGGCCUGGGACUGCUGAGACAUUCAGGCUCUGGAAUGGGAAGCUACAGUUCUUAACCUCUGAAACUUGCAGACGGCCAUUGUUAGGUUGCCCAGCCCCUACAGUGUAAGCCAUUCUAAU
Molecule: long non-coding RNA, 647 nt
Organism: Peromyscus maniculatus bairdii (prairie deer mouse)
Lineage: Eukaryota; Metazoa; Chordata; Mammalia; Rodentia; Cricetidae
Source: RefSeq, a predicted model, not a curated record